AGAGUGGGGCUGAAGCAGCCCGAUAUACGCAGUGAAGCAAAUCAGCGGUCCAACAGCCACAGGCAAGGUUGGGAACAGCCGUAACUCUUACCCGAUCUCCUUUUUCUGAAAAAAAAUAAAUAAGCAAGGGUGAGUACAAACGUACUCAGCAGCCCACCUUCACCCGCGGAAUGGGGAAAUCAGAUAUAAUGCAUGGAAUAUGUGGAGCUCAGAAUAUUUUGCAGAAUCAGCAAUAUUUUAUGCGGGGUUGUUUUGAAAAAACAUUUUGUACUUUCUCAAAGCGCAUCCUCUCCAAAAGGAGCAGGAAGUUUUUCAGUAUUAUAACAAAAUCCCCUGGACUAAACCAUCCAGGUAUCUCAGCAGUUUCCCACUGGUUUUCCUUUUCAAAAAUAGCUACUGGACUUCCCGUCCACCAUAGCUCACGGCUAAACCGCCGGACCUUUUAAAAACCAUUUUUCUCAAACGCACCCCUUUUUGAAAACAAAAACAUUAAUUGCCAUACCAUACCAGACUCGUCCAUACCAGUGGACACGGACUAUUCGAAUAGGUUUGAACUCUGCGCAGAGGUGUACACUUUACCCACUAGUCCGGUUUCUGCGAUCUCACCGUCGUGAGACCCGAAUGCCGAAUCUCUUUCUUUCCUUGCACUUCCUAACCUUAACGGUUAUACCGGAAGGAGUCAGGCCACCACCAUGUCCAAACCAGACAAAACUUUCCCCCUCCUUAUCCUCCCGGUGCUCCCCAGCCUUCAUAACCCUGGGGUUGGACCGUACGAGUUCAGAUUGAGUGACUGCCCACACAGUCUCGAGUGGUUGUACUUAUCAUGAGUACAGGUAGUGAAAGAUGACAAACCGGUCCUUAUACGAGGGGACAAUCCUUCUGCUCACGCCUAAACCAGCUGAGCCAUCACCUUAGGCCCUCCCCUAAACCAGGGAGUCCCUGAUUAUCCCACUCACAAGGUGAUAAGGGUGAAAACCCUUCAUCAUACACAUUUUGAAAAGCAUUUUCUUUUGAAAACUCACACCUUUCCUCAAAUCAUUGGUAACAAAUAUAUCAGGGAUUGAUUGCGGCAAGCGGCUGGGUGGCCAUAAUAACUUGUCUCAAAAUCAUAUCAUGCAUAAAAUAACAGGCUGAGGGUUGUGGUUGUAAAAGCAUAGGUAAUUUAUGCAUCAAAGGGAUCCAGUGAGCUUGCCGUGCUUAUCCGGCGAAGGGGAAAGAGGAGCUCGCGGAACUGGCUUCUAUCUCCACUGCCUGGCGUAGACUUGCAGAUCUGGCCUCCACGAGACGACACGAACGCUCCGAUAACUAUGCAACAUGAACAAGCAAACAUACAAACAAGCAAGUAUACCAACAAAUAUUUAGUAUAGUGGUCAAUAUAGUGAUAUAUGGAUGGGUAGAGUCUUGAGUAGAAUAUGUGUCAUGUGGUGUUGGGAUACUGCUGGUGGUGGAGCGAAGGUGCUUACCAGGAGGGUGGACUGGAGACGAAGCGACACUAUGCGUGUAGCUGGCAGAGCGGAGUAACUGAGUGAGUGGGGUGUUUGCCUUGGCUGAGGGUGUUGCGUGUGUGUGGAGAGGGAGAGGGUACCUGGGUGUAUUUAUAGCUGGGUGUAUGUGGUGUAGCACAGCGAAGUUCACUGUUGGUGAGAAUAGUGACGAAUGAAUCGUCUGACUUAGUAUGAACAGGAGAGUUAUAGGCAGAAUAUGGGACGAGAGUAUUUUGGGAGUUUUCUGGAAUAUGAACCAUGCUUAAGGGAUGACAUGGUUGGAUAGGGAAUAGUUUGAUAAGAAUUUAGAAACGAGAAUUAUUGGAAUCUGAGUUCGGAAGCCUGGUUCGAAGGAAUCUCAAGUUAAGCGUGCUCAACUUGGAGAAACCUAGGAUGGGUGACCAGCUGGGAAGUUCCCUACUAGAAUGAAAAUCACAGUCACCGGAGUUUGUAUAACUGGAAUAUGGGUCUGGCUGAUCUUAGGUGGACUGGACAGCAUGAUGGAUGAGUAGUUGAAAUUUGGGGUAAUCGGAUGAUCGAUGAAUAGUAACGGUGAAUAGUAACGGUAAAAAGUAACGGUAAAAAGUAACGGUAAAAAGUAACAGUAAA
RNAcentral lists this long non-coding RNA (2093 nucleotides) under Zea mays. RNAcentral's name for it is "long non-coding RNA (ZMAY_LNC003490)". Lineage: Eukaryota; Viridiplantae; Streptophyta; Magnoliopsida; Poales; Poaceae. The record is from RNAcentral.